GCCACCCCCAUCCCACCCCAGUGGGAGCAGCAAGGCCAGAGGCAGACUGGGGACUCCCCGAGGUGGGACUGUCACAGCCAGGGCGUUUCACAGAGUCUCUCUGGCUCACAGUCCGUGCACGUACACGGAUCUCAGCUGCGUCUAGGGCCAACCCGGGUCGGUAAAUUCUCCGGUUGUGCUGCAAGCUCGGGGUUGGAUACGAGCGGUUUCCUUGGUCUUUUAAAUUUUCCUCUAAGGACCCGUAGCCCUGACAGCAUUCCCACUACCCUUCUUAGGGAAGAGGAAUACGGUCAUUAGGGUUACCGCGGCGCGAGCCCGUGGCAGGGGGAACGGGAGCCAAGGGCACCUUCGCGAGCAGCGCCCGGGGGACCACCGAUCCGGCGCCACCGGGACCUCCAGGGUCACCGAACCCAGUCGGAAACCUCUCAAACACGGCGCCAGAGAGUAUGGGUGAGAAACCAGGGAGACGCCAUCGCACCCCAAAGCCCAGGCUUUGUGUAGCCUUCCUCCAGUAGGUGACCCGGAACCCCACGGAGGACACAGUUCCCGGGGCUGCGGAUUGAGAGGCGAAGGACAGGACAAGGCAGGUCCUCAAAUGCUCUCUCUCAUCAAAAAGGCCACAGGCAGCAACGCGGAAAAAAACCGCACGCGGCCGGACUGCGCACGCGCGCGGAAAGGCCACGGGUUCCUCCUCCCCGUCUCCCCCCACCCCAGGAACGCGCGGUGGCCCGAGCGCGCAUGCGCGACUCGCGGAGGGAAACGUUGGAGGGGGAACCCUGUCCAUUGUGAGAGAGACCCGCCCCCGCCCCGGCGCGCGCACGCACCACUCUCACAGCCUCACGGGCGCGCGCCACGGCCUCUGCCCAACUCCACGCGCAUGCGCGGGGAAGGGGGGUUAGAGAGACACGGAAGGCAACGAAACCUGUGGGCUAUUUUUUUUUUUUUGAACUCCCAGCUACUCUCCAGAACCGUGUCCACCUGCACACCGCCAUGCUUCCCGCCAUGAUGAUAAUGGAGUGAACCUCUGAACUAUUUUUUUCUCCACUAUGAGAGUCAACAUGUAAACUGAGUGAGUCUUCAGAGACAGGUCACACACACUGGGUGGUGAUCACGUGACUACAACUGUAUGAAGAAGGUUCUGGAAUCAUCAGGAGUUCAGCUUUUUUUUGGGGGAACUCACAGAAAGGCCGGAGGCAAGAACGGACAUCACAGAAUUGCCCUGUAACCUUCACAUGCUUGCCAUGCAUGUGCCUCUACAUGGAUCAUACACGCAAACAGCUUUGUCUGUAUGGUAGAUAUGUGUGGGUACACGGGUAUAUGUAUCGCAGAUUUGGGGGUCUGAGGGUGUGGCUCUGUAGUGGAGUUGCUUAGCAUGCAAGAAGCUCUGGGUUUGACCCUCAUGGGCACCAAGUAAAUAAAAUAAUAUAGGGGUUUUUGUUUA
Molecule: long non-coding RNA, 1441 nt
Organism: Mesocricetus auratus (golden hamster)
Lineage: Eukaryota; Metazoa; Chordata; Mammalia; Rodentia; Cricetidae
Exons: 3
Source: RefSeq, a predicted model, not a curated record